This is a non-coding RNA of Pelobates cultripes (western spadefoot toad), 291 nucleotides long. NCBI's taxonomy places the organism in Eukaryota, Metazoa, Chordata, Amphibia, Anura, Pelobatidae. The record is from the annotation of a GenBank genome assembly.
GUUGUUUGCAUAUUUCCAGGAUCAUAAAUUUGGAUUAUCUGAUCGAUUUACAAACACACUGUGGUUAUCCAAAGUAGCAUAUCUUGCAGACAUAUUCACAAAAUUAAAUGACUUUGUUUAUCACUCCAAGGAAAAAACUGUAAUAUUUUUAAUGCAAGAGAUAAAAUAUUUUCACUGUCUCAUAGGCUGCAGUUUUUGACCUCAUCUGUUGAGCAAAAUAAUUUGACCUCUUUGCCAACACUGAAAGAUUUUCUUGAAGAAUCAGAAAUUGAACUUGAAGAUGAAAUUCGC